UCAAGAGUCAGAAGCUUAACUGACUGAGCCAUCCUGGCGGCCCUGGAUAUUUAACAUUUUAAGAAACUAUCCGACUAUUUCACGCAGUGGCCCGACGGCUCUGCGUCCCUGCUGGCAAGCAUCGGAGUGUCCCGGCCACUCUACGUCUUCACCGACCCUUGGCGUCGCCAGUCUCCUUAACUGUACCCACUCUGGCGGGAGCGCAGCGGGGCCUCGUAGCGCCUACGCCGCUGAGCUCUGAUACGCUUGCUGUCGCUCGCGUUUUAGGUCGGGCUGCCUGUCUUCUUACUGAGCUGUCCACGUCCUCUACACACUCCGAACGCAAGUCCUUCAGCAGAUGGGGUCUGCAAGUCUAGUUCUCAUCUUCCCAUGCCUUUUCAUCUUCACAGCGUCCUCUGAAGGACGAAGCUUUCAAAUCUAGAUGGAGCUCAAAGUGUCAUUGUUUUGGUGACACACGGAAGACAUCUCUGCCUGACCCAAAGUCCGUGGUCUUCUGGAAUUUCGUAGCGUUCGUUCCUGCCUUUAGUUCUAUGAUCUGUCCUGAGGUAAUUUUGCAAAUGGUGGGAGCUAAGGGUUCCAGUCAAUGGUGUCCACAGAGAUCAGACUUGUCCCCACGCCACUUACGCAAAGACAACCUUCUCCCCCCAGUAAACUGCCCUGGCCCCUUGGCCCCGAAGCCAUGAACCACACACAGGGGCCUAUUUACGGGCUCCUUCUGUUCCUUCGAUGUACAGGUCAUUGUUCUCCUGCCAAUACGACAGCUUGGAUUGCUUAUGGCUUAAUAUAUAUGCAGUCCGGAAGCCAGACAGUGGAAGGCCUGUGACUCUGUCCAUCUCAGAUUUAGCAGUCCCGUCCGUCGAGACGGCACAUCGUUCCGUGUCCUUGGGCUUUGAGCUCAUCCGUGUUAACAGUUUCGGUCUAUACGCCUUCCCCGUGCUGGUAUCUAACGAUUUCCAUCUAUUGCGUGGUUUCCAGUCGCUCGCUGGAGCUACACGGGAAUGUUAGUUUCUGUGCGGGCACCACACGUCCCUUGGCUUUGCUAAACUCAACUGCUAGUUCUGGUGGCCCUUCUCUGGAGAUGUCUUCGGCUUCUCCAUCCAGUCCGUCUUGUCGUCGGCAAGUUAAGACAGUUUGGCUCUUUCUCUUCCAGUCUGGGUGACUGUCUUGUCCUUGCCUCCCUGCGCUGCCCGGGACACCCCAUCAGACGACUGUGGCGGAGCGUGGUGAGCGCAGCGACGGUGCUUACAGGCGUGGUAACCGGAAGGGCUGGCACCGGAGAAGGCUGCGUGCGGGGAACAGAGCUUCACUGAGCUCGGCAACGUUCAAAAUUAUUUCACCGCGAACGCGCUCCUGUGUCUCCCUCAGGCUCUCCUGGGACUGUUCUCGCCAGGAUCGCCAAGAACACCGGGUCCUCCUUGUCGCUCAGUCCGCGAAUACUUCUAGACAUUCCUGCUUGACCUCCCUGCGGUGUUUGAUGGGUCGGGCUCCCAGCAGGAAACAGAAGGCUCCAAACCGGGGUCACCGAGGAGGCUUGAAGAGGGGCUAGUUACAAGGUUGCUCUGGGGGCUUCGAUGUAGAGCUGCCUAGGAUCCUGCCGCCCUCGGGAACUGUCAUCCCCGCAGCUUCACGGCCACGCUAACGAGGCCCUAACAGGUCUAGACCUUCCUGGGAUCCUCCUCCUGCCCAGUGAUCCGGGGCGCCCCAGGGCCCAGGCAGCCGCGGGGGAGGGGGAGCCCACACGAACCAAGCGAGCACCGGGCUUCUCCCGACAGCAUCCGCCCUUUACAGACGAGGAACCCGAAGGACAGAGAAGUUAGAGAAGCUGUCCCCGGUCCCGUGCAGGUGCGGGGCCAGGACUGGAGCCUGCCAGGGGCUUCCCAGCCUGUAAUCUUAACCACUAUGACCCAAAGAGACUUCUUCAGAUUCAGGAAAAAGGACUGGAUGAUUCAUUUCCCAGAAAAGUCUUUCCCCAUCUGCCGAUGGUGCCUGUCCCGUGAACUCCCCUGGCAUGUCAGACCCCAGCCCCAAAACAGAAGGACAGAGAGUACCCCUCAGCUUCUCGUGAAACCACUGCAGCU
This is a long non-coding RNA of Mustela erminea (ermine), 2078 nucleotides long. RefSeq lists it as uncharacterized. The transcript is spliced from 3 exons. Lineage: Eukaryota; Metazoa; Chordata; Mammalia; Carnivora; Mustelidae. The record is from RefSeq and is a predicted model, not a curated record.